Chrysemys picta bellii (western painted turtle) is the source of this 504-nucleotide non-coding RNA. The record is from RefSeq and is a predicted model, not a curated record. Lineage: Eukaryota; Metazoa; Chordata; Testudines; Emydidae.
CGGGGCUUUCUUCCUGGGUUACAUGAUCCCGAGUUUAGUUUUGAAACAGACGCAGGCAGGCACAACUCACCCUCAAACAGCAACACCACCGAAAACCACAAAACCAACCCAAUAUUACACACCUAGGGGGAAUCACGGGGUCAAAUUCUCACCGACCGAAGCCCCAGCAGCUGCUAAGAUCCCCAGCGAAUGGCGAGUGGCCUGAGAAUCCUUCAAAGUAUGAAGGGAGACAUCAGUUUUCUCCGCAAAGAGCUUAGUGCCCUCAAAAGGAAGAAGAUCUUUGAUGGUUGCCUGCACCUCCUUUGGGCAACCUGACAGGUGGAGCCAAGAGGCAUGUCACAUCACCACUGCCGUGGAGGUGGCUCUGGCUUCAGUAUCAGCCAUGUUGAGGGCAGACUGUAGCAUUGUCUUUGCUACUAGCUGCCCUUCUUGGAUGUUGGCCUUAAAUUGUUCACAAUGUGUCUCAGGCAGCUGCUCAAUAAAGUAGUGUUCUAUUUCAAAUAA